UGCUAAUACCGAAUGUUGUAUCUCCUCCGCAUGGAAGAGAUAUUAAAGAUGGCCUCUACUUGUAAGCUAUCGCUUUGCGAUGGGUCUGCGUCUGAUUAGCUAGUUGGUGGGGCAACGGCCUACCAAGGCGACGAUCAGUAGCCGGUCUGAGAGGAUGAACGGCCACAUUGGAACUGAGACACGGUCCAGACUCCUACGGGAGGCAGCAGUGGGGAAUCUUCCGCAAUGGGCGAAAGCCUGACGGAGCAACGCCGCGUGAGUGAAGAAGGUCUUCGGAUCGUAAAGCUCUGUUGUCGGGGACGAAUGUUGAGAGUUAGAACAUAGGUUUCAAAUGACGGUACCUGACGAGGAAGCCACGGCUAACUACGUGCCAGCAGCCGCGGUAAUACGUAGGUGGCGAGCGUUGUCCGGAAUUAUUGGGCGUAAAGGGAGCGCAGGCGGGAAGGUAAGUCUAUCUUAAAAGUGCGGGGCUCAACCCCGUGAGGGAUAGAAACUAUUUUUCUUGAGUGCAGGA
Molecule: ribosomal RNA, 514 nt
Filed under: uncultured rumen bacterium
Lineage: Bacteria
Description: bacterial SSU rRNA
Rfam family: Bacterial small subunit ribosomal RNA
Source: RNAcentral